Molecule: long non-coding RNA, 721 nt
Filed under: Brassica napus (rape)
Lineage: Eukaryota; Viridiplantae; Streptophyta; Magnoliopsida; Brassicales; Brassicaceae
Description: long non-coding RNA (BNAP_LNC025960)
Source: RNAcentral
UUUUUUCGAAAAUUAAGGAAGUUGCAGUUUUAAAAAUAUUCUAAAAAUAUUAUAACUUCCUUAAACGUGUUUUCAUUGAUAUGCUUCGUGAAAAAUCAAAAACAAAACGAUUUUGAAUGUUCUUCUUCACCAAUCUAUGAUUUCCCCAUGAUUUCUCUUUAGUUUGUUUUGUGAUUUUCACAAACUCUUGUUCUAUGAUGCAUAUCUAUACAACAUGUGGUGUUUGAGAGUUUGGCGCAACCACGGAGAGGCGGAGACAAGCAGAGAGAGGCGGAGAGAAGCGGAGAGACGGAGAGAAGGGGAGAGACGGAGAGGUGGAGAGAGAAGCACUGAAAUCUAUUUUGCGUUUGUCUAGAGAGAAAGAGAUCCAGAGAAAAGUAUUAGAACAAGAAGAAGAAAGGAACAAAAUUUAUGACUGAAAUUGGAUGGAGAACUUUGGUGUUUACCUUCGGUAUGUAGGAGAAAAGAAAGGGGUUCCACCGGUGGCUGCAGUCGUCGUUGAUUUCACCGGAUAAAACACAAAGGAGAAGACACAAUCGCCAUCUUGCUCGCCGUGGAAGAGAGAGUCGGAGAGAUCGAUGUUAGGGUUACGGGAGUUAGGGAAAGUUAAAUGUUUAGAUCCCUUUUUUUUUUUUAAUUUGUUUCCCCUUUUGGCAACUAUAUUAAACCAACCUUUUUCCAUUUUUUUAAAAAAUUCAAUUAAUUAUGUUUAAUGUGAUUA